This 164-nucleotide ribosomal RNA is filed under the name Saxifraga retusa. RNAcentral describes it as "5.8S ribosomal RNA". It matches the Rfam family "5.8S ribosomal RNA". Rfam says of the family: 5.8S ribosomal RNA (5.8S rRNA) is a component of the large subunit of the eukaryotic ribosome. Lineage: Eukaryota; Viridiplantae; Streptophyta; Magnoliopsida; Saxifragales; Saxifragaceae. RNAcentral also lists the same sequence under 1 other name. The record is from RNAcentral.
AUAAUGACUCUCGGCAACGGAUAUCUCGGCUCUUACAUCGAUGAAGAACGUAGCAAAAUGCGAUACUUGGUGUGAAUUGCAGAAUCCCGUGAACCAUCGAGUCUUUGAACGCAAGUUGCGCCCGAAUCCAUUUGGUUGAGGGCACGUCUGCCUGGGUGUCACGU